Molecule: ribosomal RNA, 245 nt
Filed under: uncultured bacterium
Lineage: Bacteria
Description: partial 16S ribosomal RNA
Rfam family: Bacterial small subunit ribosomal RNA
Source: RNAcentral
AACGAACGCUGGCGGCAGGCCUAACACAUGCAAGUCGAACGCCGUAGCAAUACGGAGUGGCAGACGGGUGAGUAACACGUGGGAACGUACCCUCGGUUCGGAAUAACUCAGGGAAACUUGAGCUAAUACCGGAUACGUCCGAGAGGAGAAAGAUUUAUCGCCGAGGGAUCGGCCCGCGUCUGAUUAGCUUGUUGGUGAGGUAACGGCUCACCAAGGCGACGAUCAGUAGCUGGCUGAGAGGAUGA